Molecule: ribosomal RNA, 497 nt
Filed under: uncultured bacterium
Lineage: Bacteria
Description: partial 16S ribosomal RNA
Rfam family: Bacterial small subunit ribosomal RNA
Source: RNAcentral
GAUGAACGCUGGCGGCGUGCCUAAUACAUGCAAGUCGAGCGAACGGACGAGAAGCUUGCUUUUCUGAUGUUAGCGGCGGACGGGUGAGUAACACGUGGAUAACCUACCUAUAAGACUGGGAUAACUUCGGGAAACCGGAUCUAAUACCGGAUAAUAUUUUGAACCGCAUGGUUCAAAAGUGAAAGACGGUCUUGCUGUCACUUAUAGAUGGAUCCGCGCUGCAUUAGCUAGUUGGUAAGGUAGCGGCUUACCAAGGCAACGAUGCAUAGCCGACCUGAGAGGGUGAUCGGCCACACUGGAACUGAGACACGGUCCAGACUCCUACGGGAGGCAGCAGUAGGGAAUCUUCCGCAAUGGGCGAAAGCCUGACGGAGCAACGCCGCGUGAGUGAUGAAGGUCUUCGGAUCGUAAAACUCUGUUAUUAGGGAAGAACAUAUGUGUAAGUAACUGUGCACAUCUUGACGGUACCUAAUCAGAAAGCCACGGCUAACUACGUG